This 76-nucleotide transfer RNA is filed under the name Lacunisphaera sp. RNAcentral's name for it is "tRNA-Trp". It matches the Rfam family "tRNA". Rfam says of the family: Transfer RNA (tRNA) molecules are approximately 80 nucleotides in length. Their secondary structure includes four short double-helical elements and three loops (D, anti-codon, and T loops). Further hydrogen bonds mediate the characteristic L-shaped molecular structure. tRNAs have two regions of fundamental functional importance: the anti-codon, which is responsible for specific mRNA codon recognition, and the 3' end, to which the tRNAs corresponding amino acid is attached (by aminoacyl-tRNA synthetases). tRNAs cope with the degeneracy of the genetic code in two manners: having more than one tRNA (with a specific anti-codon) for a particular amino acid; and 'wobble' base-pairing, i.e. permitting non-standard base-pairing at the 3rd anti-codon position. Lineage: Bacteria; Pseudomonadati; Verrucomicrobiota; Opitutia; Opitutales; Opitutaceae. RNAcentral also lists the same sequence under 4 other names. The record is from RNAcentral.
AGGGGUGUAGCUCAACUGGUAGAGUAGCGGUCUCCAAAACCGUUGGUUGGGGGUUCGAGUCCCUCCGCCCCUGCCA